This is a long non-coding RNA of Brassica oleracea var. oleracea, 421 nucleotides long. RefSeq lists it as uncharacterized. The transcript has 2 exons. The record is from RefSeq and is a predicted model, not a curated record. Lineage: Eukaryota; Viridiplantae; Streptophyta; Magnoliopsida; Brassicales; Brassicaceae.
GCAAGCCUCUCUAAAGGCAUAGACAUCCUUAUAUGGGCCUUCUUAGGCCCGUUUAAAAUAUUAGAGCCUUGUCCAAUUAUAAGCUAGGGGAAGUAGAAACCCUAGCUAUAUAAAGUAGAGAGACGAGUGAAACAGAGCUGAACAUCCGAGCUCGGCGAUUUCACGAUGAGAGCCAAGUGGAAGAAGAAGCGCAUGAGGAGAUUGAAGAGGAAGCGCAGAAAGAUGAGGCAGAGAUCUAAGUAGUCUUUGUCUUGCUUUAUCUCCUAAUCUCUGUGGUUGCUUUCUAGUUUCUUGAACCGUUUAUGUUUUGUGUUUUUUUACAUUCAAGAUUUGAACAAUCAUGUGUAGAACAUGUUUUUGCUUACUCCCUUUUAUUAUCUACAAAGCAGAGGUUGAAUAUUAUGCUUCUAUUUUAUAAAAA